CCUACGGGAGGCAGCAGUGGGGGAUAUUGCACAAUGGGGGGAACCCUGAUGCAGCGACGCCGCGUGGGUGAAGAAGCGUUUCGGCACGUAAAGCUCUAUCAGCAGGGAAGAAAAUGACGGUACCUGAAGAAGAAGCCCCGGCUAACUACGUGCCAGCAGCCGCGGUAAUACGUAGGGGGCAAGCGUUAUCCGGAUUUACUGGGUGUAAAGGGGGCGCAGACGGCAGUGCAAGCCAGGAGUGAAAUCCCAGGGCCUAACCCUGGGACUGCUCUGGGAACUGCGUGGCUGGAGUGCAGGAGGGGCAGGCGGAAUUCCUGGUGUAGCGGUGAAAUGCGUAGAUAUCAGGAGGAACACCAGUGGCGAAGGCGGCUUGCUGGACUGCAACUGACGUUGAGGCCCGAAAGCGUGGGGAGCAAACAGGAUUAGAUACCCUUGUAGUC
This 440-nucleotide ribosomal RNA is filed under the name uncultured bacterium. RNAcentral describes it as "partial 16S ribosomal RNA". It matches the Rfam family "Bacterial small subunit ribosomal RNA", at positions 338 to 795 of the family's 1533-position model. The record is from RNAcentral.